Molecule: ribosomal RNA, 660 nt
Filed under: Escherichia coli
Lineage: Bacteria; Pseudomonadati; Pseudomonadota; Gammaproteobacteria; Enterobacterales; Enterobacteriaceae
Description: bacterial SSU rRNA
Rfam family: Bacterial small subunit ribosomal RNA
Source: RNAcentral
UUAAGUCGACCGCCUGGGGAGUACGGCCGCAAGGUUAAAACUCAAAUGAAUUGACGGGGGCCCGCACAAGCGGUGGAGCAUGUGGUUUAAUUCGAUGCAACGCGAAGAACCUUACCUGGUCUUGACAUCCACGGAAGUUUUCAGAGAUGAGAAUGUGCCUUCGGGAACCGUGAGACAGGUGCUGCAUGGCUGUCGUCAGCUCGUGUUGUGAAAUGUUGGGUUAAGUCCCGAAACGAGCGCAACCCUUAUCCUUUGUUGCCAGCGGUCCGGCCGGGAACUCAAAGGAGACUGCCAGUGAUAAACUGGAGGAAGGUGGGGAUGACGUCAAGUCAUCAUGGCCCUUACGACCAGGGCUACACACGUGCUACAAUGGCGCAUACAAAGAGAAGCGACCUCGCGAGAGCAAGCGGACCUCAUAAAGUGCGUCGUAGUCCGGAUUGGAGUCUGCAACUCGACUCCAUGAAGUCGGAAUCGCUAGUAAUCGUGGAUCAGAAUGCCACGGUGAAUACGUUCCCGGGCCUUGUACACACCGCCCGUCACACCAUGGGAGUGGGUUGCAAAAGAAGUAGGUAGCUUAACCUUCGGGAGGGCGCUUACCACUUUGUGAUUCAUGACUGGGGUGAAGUCGUAACAAGGUAACCGUAGGGGAACCUGCGGUUG